Non-coding RNA from Gossypium arboreum, 144 nucleotides. The record is from Rfam. Lineage: Eukaryota; Viridiplantae; Streptophyta; Magnoliopsida; Malvales; Malvaceae.
UAUUAAAAAAUUCAUCCAUUUCUAUUGUUAAAGCUGGCAUGAUUGACAGAAUAACCAAACAGUGACACGUGACGUCCCACGCGUACCCCCUGUUGACGUACAUGAACUAAUUUUUAAUAGUAGAAAUGAAUAAAACUUUUAAUA